This 482-nucleotide ribosomal RNA is filed under the name uncultured bacterium. Its description in RNAcentral is "partial 16S ribosomal RNA". It matches the Rfam family "Bacterial small subunit ribosomal RNA", at positions 30 to 507 of the family's 1533-position model. The record is from RNAcentral.
AUUGAACGCUGGCGGCAUGCCUUACACAUGCAAGUCGAACGGUAACAGGCCUUCGGGUGCCGACGAGUGGCGAACGGGUGAGUAAUACAUCGGAACGUGCCCGAUCGUGGGGGAUAACGAGGCGAAAGCUUUGCUAAUACCGCAUACGAUCUACGGAUGAAAGCAGGGGACCGCAAGGCCUUGCGCGGACGGAGCGGCCGAUGGCAGAUUAGGUAGUUGGUGGGAUAAAAGCUUACCAAGCCGACGAUCUGUAGCUGGUCUGAGAGGAUGAUCAGCCACACUGGGACUGAGACACGGCCCAGACUCCUACGGGAGGCAGCAGUGGGGAAUUUUGGACAAUGGGCGCAAGCCUGAUCCAGCCAUGCCGCGUGCAGGAUGAAGGCCUUCGGGUUGUAAACUGCUUUUGUACGGAACGAAAAGCAUUCUUUUAAUACAGGAGGGUCAUGACGGUACCGUAAGAAUAAGCACCGGCUAACUACGUG